RNAcentral lists this ribosomal RNA (687 nucleotides) under Scrippsiella sweeneyae. Its description in RNAcentral is "LSU rRNA". It matches the Rfam family "Eukaryotic large subunit ribosomal RNA", at positions 1 to 676 of the family's 3401-position model. Lineage: Eukaryota; Dinophyceae; Peridiniales; Peridiniaceae. The record is from RNAcentral.
AAGACAUGAAGUUAGGUCAGCAAACCCGCUGAAUUUAAGCAUAUAAGUAAGCGGAGGAAAAGAAACUAAAUAGGAUUCCCUCAGUAAUGGCGAAUGAACAGGGAUGAGCUCAGUAUGGAAAUUGGGGCCUGUGGCCUUGAAUUGUAGUCUGGAGAUGUACCACCAACUGGGGCGCAGAUGUAAGCCUCUUGGAAAAGAGCAUCAAUGAGGGUGAGAGUCCCGCUUGGCAUCUGCAGUCCCCAGUGCACGGUGUACCUUCUAAGAGUCACGUUCCUCGGGAUUGGAGCGCAAAUUGGGUGGUAAGUUUCAUCUAAAGCUAAAUAUUGUUUCGAGACCGAUAGCAAACAAGUACCAUGAGGGAAAGGUGAAAAGGACUUUGAAAAGAGAGUUAAAAGUGCCUGAAAUUGCUGAAAGGGAAGCGAAUGGAACCAGCGCAACUUGGCGAGAUUGCUGCGUGUCAAUGUGAUUGCUUGCUGCUUCAACGUAAGUGUGGUAGUAAGUCUUGAACAGGACGUGCGCGGUGCUUCUUGCCUUGUGUGUCACCGUCAGUUCGCAGCUGGGGAAAACUUCAGGGACAUGGUAGCCUGUCUCCGGGCGGGUGAACGUGUUUGCUGGAACUCAUUUGUGGACUGUUUGGUGACUAAAUGGUUCCAUCUGACCCGUCUUGAAACACGGACCAAGGAGUCU